CCUACGGGUGGCAGCAGUGGGGGAUAUUGCACAAUGGGGGAAACCCUGAUGCAGCGACGCCGCGUGGGUGAAGAAGCGCCUCGGCGCGUAAAGCCCUGUCAGCAGGGAAGAAAAUGACGGUACCUGAAGAAGAAGCCCCGGCUAACUAAGUGACAGCAGCAGCGGUAAUACGUAGGGGGCAAGCGUUAUCCGGAUUUACUGGGUGUAAAGGGGGCGCAGACGGGGAUGCAAGCCAGGAGGGAAAGCCCGGGCCCAACCCCGGGACUGCGAUUGAAACUGGGUGGCUAGAGUGCAGGAGGGGCAGGCGGAAUUCGUGGUGUAGCGGUGAAAUGCGUAGAUAUCAGGAAGAACACCGGUGGCGAAGGCGGCCUGCUGGACUGCAACUGACGUUGAGGCCCGAAAGCGUGGGGAGCAAACAGGAUUAGAUACCCUAGUAGUC
Molecule: ribosomal RNA, 439 nt
Filed under: uncultured bacterium
Lineage: Bacteria
Description: partial 16S ribosomal RNA
Rfam family: Bacterial small subunit ribosomal RNA
Source: RNAcentral